CAGUAGCCGCGGUAAUGCGUAGGGUGCGAGCGUUAAUCGGAAUUACUGGGCGUAAAGCGUGCGCAGGCGGUUGUGUAAGACAGGUGUGAAAUCCCCGGGCUUAACCUGGGAACUGCGCUUGUGACUGCACAGCUAGAGUAUGGCAGAGGGGGGUGGAAUUCCACGUGUAGCAGUGAAAUGCGUAGAGAUGUGGAGGAACACCGAUGGCGAAGGCAGCCCCCUGGGCCAAUACUGACGCUCAUGCACGAAAGCGUGGGGAGCGAACAGGAUUAGAUACCCCCGUAGUCCCUGUCUCUUAUAC
This 301-nucleotide ribosomal RNA is filed under the name uncultured bacterium. RNAcentral describes it as "partial 16S ribosomal RNA". It matches the Rfam family "Bacterial small subunit ribosomal RNA", at positions 509 to 807 of the family's 1533-position model. The record is from RNAcentral.